RNAcentral lists this long non-coding RNA (1067 nucleotides) under Rhinopithecus bieti (black snub-nosed monkey). Its description in RNAcentral is "lncRNA (ENSRBIG00000045709.1)". The record is from RNAcentral. Lineage: Eukaryota; Metazoa; Chordata; Mammalia; Primates; Cercopithecidae.
AUUUAGUUUUCACAUCAUUUCAGCUCAGAGAUCUGAAAACAAGUAAAUUCUGAAUAGGAGUGGAGAGAGAACACUACAAGUAGAAAAUUUCUGAAUGUAAGUCAAGACCUGUACCUGUGAAACUGGUCAUCAGAAAUGGCACAAGGAUCAUUGUCUUAGUCUAUAUUCUGCUACUACAGCAGAAUACCACAGACUGGGUAAUGUAUAAAGAAAAUUUUAUUUGGCCCACAGUUCUGAAGACUGGGAAGUCCAAGACCAAGGGGCUGCAUCUGGUGAGGGACUUCUUGCUGUGUCACACAUGACAGAAGGCAUCACAUGGUGAGAAAGAGUAUGCACACAAGAGGGAGUGAGGGGCAGAGACAGGAGGGAUGAAAUAAGGGCCAAACUUCACCUUUUUAUCAGUCACCCACAUCCAACAUAACUAGCCUACUCCCAUAAUAAUGACAUUAAUCCAUUUAUGAGGACAGAGCUCUCAUGACCAGGAUCACCUCAUAAAGGUCCCACUUCUUAGUACUGUCACAAUGGCCAUUACAUUUUAACAUGACUUUUGGAGAAGACAUUAAACCAUAGCGGUCACCACAGCUUGAUUUUGGAUGCAUGAGACAGUAUGUUGUGGGUUGCUGGGAGGACCAGAUCACUGACAGAUUAAAGUUACCAAGUUCAAGUGACAAGCUUGAAUCCUUCUGCAGUCACACAUUUAGCCCAGCAGAGGCGAGAGCAGGGCCAACUUGCUAUUCAUUCACAGGAUAAAUAAUAAUGCCACAACAUUUCACACCUGUGCUAACAAUGACCCGUCUGUGGACCUGACUGUCAGGGACUGCCCAUGCUUCACAGCCAAGGAGGGAUGGAGCCCAGCAAAGUGCACCAGGACCUGCCACUGGCCUUCAUCUUUGUCUUUUUUCCAGCGCCAUACUUUGAGAAGUGAGGCUGAAAAGGAUGGGUAUGGACUUGGAUCCGGAGGUCUGGAGGAGAAAUUGGAUUCAACAGGCUUGAGGGGCCAUCUUCCUUGGAGGUGCUGCACAGAGUCAGCCGGUGAGGCAGGUGACCAGGCUUGGAGCUCCAUGUGA